AGCACCGAGUUGCUGGAGGCCUCAAGAGUCAUUGGAGGUGAGUAUUAGUUGUGAUUUGGCAGGAAAUUUGCUUCGGACGCUGGAUGCGCGCCACUUGCCAUAUGUAUGUCCGGAAAGCGUUGCAGGUAAUUUAUUGGUGGUAAGAAUAUGACGCGCCGCUGUCAUUUGUUGGUUUUCUCUUCCACCCUCAGUGGUAGAUGUUUGCGAUUAUUUAUUUAGCUUGUUAAAUUGCAGGUCAGCUUCGGCGGUCGUCGGGAAGAGGAUGCCUGAAGAAAGGUCCGGAACAGCGGUCGUCACGUAGUUUUGGAGCUGCUGCCAUUAUUGUGGUGUGAUCUGUCUCAUUAUGGCAGAGGAGUCGACAGUGAUGAUUGUGGCUUGGUCGUUCAUCUAGGGUGGCUAGGUGCGCCGCGUUUUGUGGCCAUUUCGUCAGGGUUUGCAGCUUGGAGCCUCCGGAACGUGAUUAGUUGCCGAGGGCCGUCGCAACGAUUGGGGCCAUGGAAAUGGAAGUAAAAUUAGAGAUUGGGUACGUUUAGUGGGAGGUACAUUAGGUGGAAGCUAGUCUGGUGGUAAGUGUUAUAAUUGUUUUUAAGGUUGCAUUAAUAUUUUGUUUUUCAGCUGCGUUUUGUAACUAAUUGGGAGGCCCUUUGUUUUUGGAACAUGGCAGCGGAAAAGCCGCGGGUUUAGGGUCGUCGAGUUGGCAAUUAGAUAAGUGUUUUGUUAAAGUAAUUAAUUCCCAGUUUUAGCUUGUGCUUCCUCGUUUCAGAAUUUACAAUCUUGGAAAGAGCAGUUGCAUGCUUAUCGUCAGCAAGAUGGAGCCGCCUGUUGUCGCCUAUUGUCGCCUGGUUAUUUGCCUGUCCGGUUUGCUUUGUCCUUAAUUAAUUAUAUUUUGUAUCAUAUUCUUAUUAAAAUUUUUCCUUUCGUUGUAGGUUAGCGGAAAAUCCGUGGGAGAUGCGAUACUGAGGAAAGGAAUUUUGUGUUUUUCUUUUCAGGUACAUUUGGUGGGAGGUACAUUUGGUGGAAGCUAAUCUGGUGGUGAGUAUUUUAAUUGUUUUAUGGUUACAUUAGUCUUUUGUUUUACAGGUACGUUUUGUGACUAAUUUGGAGGCCCUUUGUUUUUGAAACAUUGCAACAGGAGAGCCGCGGGUUUAGUGUCGUCGAAUUGGCAAUUAGAUAAGUGUUUAUUUAAAGUAAAUAAUUCCCAGUAUUAGCUUGUGCUUCCUUGUUUCAGAGUUCACAAUCUUGGAAAAAGCAGUUGCGUGCUUUUCAUCAGCAGGAUAGAGUCGCCUGUUGGCGUCUAUUAAUUUGCCUGUCCGGUUUGUAAAUUUAUAUUUGUCCUUAAUUAAUUUUCUUUGUAUCCUAUUCUUAUUAAUUUUCUUUUCGUUGUAGGUUUUCGGAAAAAUUUGUGGAAGAUGCGAUACUGAGGAAAAGUAUACAAUUUGAGGACAAGUGGUACGGUUUAAUUGUGUGACGUCAGCUCCGCGCUAGUGAUCCUUAUUGGAGAAGUGGCAUCAGGAGGUGGAGACGGCAUCGUAAUGAUGUCGAUUUUUUUUGUGUUAAAAGGCAAAAAGUUGGCUUUUUUGUUUUACGUUUGGUGGAGCCGUCUCCUCUUGUCUAAUGCAUAGGAUGUGGGUAAGCUAUGUCUGCAGUGGGUGAGGUAUUUGCUUUGUUUGAUUUUAUUUUGUUUAUUUAAUUUGUUGUUGAUUGUUUACUUUUAGGUUUUAGCGUCAACUCGCUGUUGGCGCUCGUCAAGCUGGAAAUUUAUGGGAGCAGCAGAGUGUCCUGUUCGACGAGGUGGAAGCGUUGUUGGCCCGUCUUUUGCAGAGCAUCAAUUUGUGUAGAUUUCAGCGUUGAUAAUAGAUACUUCAAAGGACCGUGCGGCAAAAAUUUCAGGCUCUGGUUGGUUUUUUCCGUAUCGUAUCGUCAGGAUCAGCUGGAGUGCGUUGUCGUAGGCUUGUUUAUUCGGGUGCGUUGAGGAAAAUUGGGCUGCGUCGAGGAAGUUGAUGACCGUGAAGGAGUUUGGAGCAGACUGACGUGCACUUUUCGGUCGGAUAUGGAUAUCGUUAGAAUAGAUAUAAGUAAGAGUAGAUAUAAGUAAGAGUAAAUUUAAUUGGAUGUAUCCAUGUCAAGAUUGUUAUCUGUUCCUUGAAUAAUUAAGGCCAAUAAACUGUCAAUUUUCUUUU
This is a long non-coding RNA of Drosophila sechellia, 2180 nucleotides long. RefSeq lists it as uncharacterized. NCBI's taxonomy places the organism in Eukaryota, Metazoa, Arthropoda, Insecta, Diptera, Drosophilidae. The transcript is spliced from 6 exons. The record is from RefSeq and is a predicted model, not a curated record.